Molecule: long non-coding RNA, 529 nt
Filed under: Fukomys damarensis (Damara mole-rat)
Lineage: Eukaryota; Metazoa; Chordata; Mammalia; Rodentia; Bathyergidae
Description: lncRNA (ENSFDAG00000021745.1)
Source: RNAcentral
UCUAUUUUCUUUUUUUCAGGAUGAGAAAUGCAUGUGAAUCUGUCCAAAUACUCACAAAUUGAAUUCAAUCCAGCUUUAGUCCAGCUGAUGAGUUGUCCGAUCACUUGUCUGGCCCAUGAUGGCUUAAAAUACAGCGCAAGCGAUGCACAGAGGCAGCGUGAAGUUUUAGGCCACAAGAAGAGCACUGUCAGGUAUCUUCUUCCCAAGAAGUUGGAGUCAUGGGUAGAAAGGAAAUAAAGUGCUAAAUGAAGAGAAACAGUAUGUCUCAAUUUCACUUUUUGUUUGUGUGCCAAAAGCUUCAUCAAGUUUUUCUUCCAUUGCUGAUUUCUUCUGAUGCCCUCAAGUGAGAGAAAAGUCAACUUGUUAGAAAUUGGCAUUCUUAUUCUGAAUAGUUCCACGAUUGUUAUGGCAUUUUUGAGUUUCAAAUUUGAAUUAAAAAAAGAGAACAAAAACACCUAAGGAAGAGAAAUUGUAGUUGAGGGUAGAGAAUACUAGAUGAUAGCAAAUACCUUUCCAAGGUCAGAAGGCG